RNAcentral lists this ribosomal RNA (464 nucleotides) under uncultured bacterium. RNAcentral's name for it is "partial 16S ribosomal RNA". It matches the Rfam family "Bacterial small subunit ribosomal RNA", at positions 28 to 507 of the family's 1533-position model. The record is from RNAcentral.
GACGAACGCUGGCGGCGUGCCUAACACAUGCAAGUCGAGCGAAUGAAGUUCCUUCGGGCAUGGAUUUAGCGGCGGACGGGUGAGUAACACAUGGGCAACCUGCCUCAUAGAGGGGAAUAGCCUUCCGAAAGGGAGAUUAAUACCGCAUAAGAUUGUAGUAUCGCAUGAUACAGCAAUUAAAGGAGCAAUCCGCUAUGAGAUGGGCCCGCGGCGCAUUAGCUAGUUGGUGAGGUAACGGCUCACCAAGGCGACGAUGCGUAGCCGACAUGAGAGGGUGGUCGGCCACAUUGGGGCUGAGACGCGGCCCAGACUCCUACGGGAGGCAGCAGUGGGGAAUAUUGCACAAUGGGGGAAACCCUGAUGCAGCAACGCCGCGAGAGUGAUGACGGCCUUCGAGUUGUAAAGCUCUGUCUUCAGGGACGAUAAUGACGGUACCUGAGGAGGAAGCCACGGCUAACUACGUG